RNAcentral lists this ribosomal RNA (454 nucleotides) under uncultured Bacteroides sp. Its description in RNAcentral is "partial 16S ribosomal RNA". It matches the Rfam family "Bacterial small subunit ribosomal RNA", at positions 341 to 792 of the family's 1533-position model. Lineage: Bacteria; Pseudomonadati; Bacteroidota; Bacteroidia; Bacteroidales; Bacteroidaceae. The record is from RNAcentral.
ACGGGAGGCAGCAGUGAGGAAUAUUGGUCAAUGGGCGAGAGCCUGAACCAGCCAUGUCGCGUGGAGGAAUAAGGAUCUAUGGUUCGUAAACUCCUUUUGCGGGGGGAUAAAGUGCGGGACGCGUCCCGUUUUGUAGGUACCCCGCGAAUAAGCAUCGGCUAACUCCGUGCCAGCAGCCGCGGUAAUACGGAGGAUGCGAGCGUUAUCCGGAUUUAUUGGGUUUAAAGGGAGCGUAGGCGGGAAGUCAAGUCAGCUGUGAAAUGUAGUCGCUCAACGUCUGCACUGCAGUUGAAACUGGUUUUCUUGAGUGCGUAAGAGGCAGGUGGAAUUUGUCGUGUAGCGGUGAAAUGCUUAGAUAUGACGAAGAACUCCGAUUGCGAAGGCAGCCUGCUGGGCCGCAACUGACGCUGAAGCUCGAAGGUGCGGGUAUCAAACAGGAUUAGAUACCCUGGUA